UAUUAGCUUGGUGGGUGGUUCUUAGUUGGGUGAUUUCGGGAAUGUCUACCGUAAAGGUGCAUGAGUGGUGUUUGGUUUGUUACGGGUGGUUGGCUCUUUGCUUGCGCAACAACUUCCACCUGGCAGACCUCUUCAGUCUUGUGUCGAUGCUUGUAUCGCAUUGAAUGCAUGGUGGGUUUCCUGUGUUGCAUGCCUAAUGAUGGUAUCAUUUGAAGAACUGACGUCCAUUUUCGUCUUGUGUCGCACAUGCGAUGUGAGAUGAACCUUGAAGCUGCCUUUGUGUUCCACUCUUUUGAUGCACACGCAUUGAUUUUGUGGCCCACAAAGUGUUGCUUGGUCUCAUGGAUAUGGAACCUGGUGUGGGCAUGGGAACUUUACUAGUUCCUUGUUUGCCCUAGUUUAGCUUUUCUAAUACGAUUGUCUAUCAUGUAUUGACGUGGUAGAC
Molecule: unclassified non-coding RNA, 445 nt
Filed under: Gamochaeta capitata
Lineage: Eukaryota; Viridiplantae; Streptophyta; Magnoliopsida; Asterales; Asteraceae
Description: partial external transcribed spacer
Source: RNAcentral